GUUGACGCUUUAUAUGUUGGUUUGAAAGCCUCGGGCUGAUUGGACAUAUAAAUGUCAUAAAGCUCCGCCUAUUUAAUAUGCUUUUAUCCUAAACUCAGGUGUGCAUGUUUAGAUUUUUACCUGUCGAGUUAAAUUUCAACACCUUAACGGUAUAAGCAUUCAAUCUUGAUGUCUUAAGGAUUACAUUUUGAGAAAACUUUAAAGAUGGCAUAUGGAUCUCAAUAUAGAAUCUAAAACGG
This 239-nucleotide long non-coding RNA is filed under the name Mytilus galloprovincialis (Mediterranean mussel). Lineage: Eukaryota; Metazoa; Mollusca; Bivalvia; Mytilida; Mytilidae. The record is from RNAcentral.